UACGAAGGUCCCAAGCGUUAUCCGGAUUUAUUGGGUUUAAAGGGUGCGUAGGCGGAUUAUUAAGUCAGUGGUGAAAGCUCUCAGCCUAACUGAGAAAUUGCCAUUGAUACUGAUGAUCUUGAGUACAUUUGAAGUGGGCGGAAUGUGUCAUGUAGCGGUGAAAUGCUUAGAUAUGACACAGAACACCGAUUGCGUAGGCAGCUCACUAAACUGUAACUGACGCUGAGGCACGAAAGCGUGGGGAGCAAACAGG
Molecule: ribosomal RNA, 253 nt
Filed under: uncultured bacterium
Lineage: Bacteria
Description: partial 16S ribosomal RNA
Rfam family: Bacterial small subunit ribosomal RNA
Source: RNAcentral